Long non-coding RNA from Callorhinus ursinus (northern fur seal), 678 nucleotides. RefSeq lists it as uncharacterized. Lineage: Eukaryota; Metazoa; Chordata; Mammalia; Carnivora; Otariidae. The record is from RefSeq and is a predicted model, not a curated record.
UUAUUCACUGAUUCAUUUACUCACCAAGUAUUUACUGAGCAGAUACCUUGUACCAGGAACAGUGAGGGGCCUGGGGAUCUAGCAGAAAAUAAAACAGACACCCCAAAGGUGGUUUUCUCCUCCCCCCACUUUGUAAUUGAGUUGUCAUUACGUUUACAGCAUUUCUUCUUGCCUUCAUGUUUGCAUUCUGCAGCUGCAUUUGACACCGUGAGAAGGUGACGGCUUUAGAGCCCGGCAGACGGGGCCCAGAAUUGUCCCUCUGCUCCUGGGUCUUCCGUGGGUGCCACGGGGUGGCUGCCUGCCUGUCUGCACACGCCAGGUGCCUCACCAGUGAGACUGGUCAGUGAAUUACUUAUUUGAAUGAAUAACACAUGAGCCCUUUGCAUUUCACAAAUCAGCUCAUGUUAGUGCAGAUUCAUCACACUGUGUUUGGCUUAUCAGAUACUUAAACGAGAUGCCUCCAUUUCCAAGGCAACAGUGUCCUGGUCCCUCCACCCCGAGGCUGCUGCUUCGGGUCCUCCCCUGUCCACUCCCGGACUCAGCAUCAUCAGGUUUACAUGUUCUGAUGACACAAGCAAUAUAUACCCACUUUUCAAACUAUGAAAAUCAGCGAAGCAUCAAGAAAAAGGAUGUACUUGCUGUUGAUGUUCUCGUGUGACACUGGGGCCUUUCCUGCAG